RNAcentral lists this ribosomal RNA (501 nucleotides) under uncultured bacterium. Its description in RNAcentral is "partial 16S ribosomal RNA". It matches the Rfam family "Bacterial small subunit ribosomal RNA", at positions 30 to 523 of the family's 1533-position model. The record is from RNAcentral.
AUUGAACGCUGGCGGCAGGCUUAACACAUGCAAGUCGAGCGGGGUGAUGGUGCUUGCACUAUCACUUAGCGGCGGACGGGUGAGUAAUGCAUAGGAAUCUGCCUAUUAGUGGGGGACAACAUUCCGAAAGGAAUGCUAAUACCGCAUACGUCCUACGGGAGAAAGCAGGGGAUCUUCGGACCUUGCGCUAAUAGAUGAGCCUAAGUCGGAUUAGGUAGUUGGUGGGGUAAAGGCCUACCAAGGCGACGAUCUGUAGCGGGUCUGAGAGGAUGAUCCGCCACACUGGGACUGAGACACGGCCCAGACUCCUACGGGAGGCAGCAGUGGGGAAUAUUGGACAAUGGGGGAAACCCUGAUCCAGCCAUGCCGCGUGUGUGAAGAAGGCCUUAUGGUUGUAAAGCACUUUAAGCGAGGAGGAGGCUACUGAGACUAAUACUCUUGGAUAGUGGACGUUACUCGCAGAAUAAGCACCGGCUAACUCUGUGCCAGCCGCCGCAGUAA